Long non-coding RNA from Catharus ustulatus (Swainson's thrush), 1020 nucleotides. RefSeq lists it as uncharacterized. Lineage: Eukaryota; Metazoa; Chordata; Aves; Passeriformes; Turdidae. The record is from RefSeq and is a predicted model, not a curated record. The transcript has 3 exons.
UGCAGUUUUUUCUCUUGCAGCCACCCUCUUCUGCAAAUCUAGGGAAGAUGUACAUUUUCAUGCUCCUUUUAUGACGUAUCUGGAAAAUGUUUUGGAGAUACUGUAGGGAAGAUGCUCACAAUUACAGUACCGUUUUUAAAAGCAAGCAAUUUGGACUGUAAACUGCAUUUUUGUGUGCAUACAGAGGAGAUGGGAAGCUGGGCUGCCUUGCAGGAAAAGGGAAUUGAAGGAGGGAAAUUUUACCUUCAAGAAAGGAGAAGAGAAGCUUUAGAGGAAGUUUGCCAGCAGUAAUAAUCAGGAUCCAGAACUUGAUUUGAGGGUAAGGACACCAGCAGGGAUUUGAGGUGGGGCACUAUCUUCAGCUGUGCCCUUUGCUGAUUUCCCAAACAUGACAUAUUAAGCUCUGAAAUUCAAUCUGGGUUUGAUUAACUUGGAGCAGUUGCUAACAUGGUUGAUGUGACACCACAAGGGUAGUUUUUUAGAAAAGCUGUCUUUCGUGGACAAAGUGCAUUUACAGAAUCCACAGGUGUGAAGGCCCUUUGGUGUGAGUACAAAGAAUGGCCUAAUGAACACAAGUGUAGUCCUGGGAGUCCCCUGUCCAUUUCCAGCCUGGCCCUACUGGGGCAGCAAGUGAAAUAGGGAUGGAGAAGACAUCACUGCAGAAGAGAAACCAUCAUCCCUUCCCAGUGGGAAAUUUCCUCGGUGCUGAUUUGGAGAGCUGUGGCACAGGCUAUGCUGCAAGACUCAAUGAUGGUUUUAAAAUGUAAGCACUCUCAGUUGCUGGGCCAAUGGUUUUAUACCUCGUACGGGUGUGGAGCACUGGGAACAUCCUGGCAGCACCUCACUCUGUGGGGAUGAACCAGGGAACGGUGGGAGGUGAAGAAGGUGGUACCGCCGGUGGAAGGAGACGUGGCUGUAGGUGAGAACACAGAAUCACAGAAUCCUUAGGGUUGGGAGGGAUUCCAGGACAUCGCCCUGUCCAACCUGCCUGGGACACCUGCACGGGGACACGGGAGCACG